Molecule: ribosomal RNA, 142 nt
Filed under: uncultured eukaryote
Lineage: Eukaryota
Description: partial 18S ribosomal RNA
Rfam family: Eukaryotic small subunit ribosomal RNA
Source: RNAcentral
AGGUGGAGUGAUUUGUCUGGUUAAUUCCGUUAACGAACGAGACCUCAGCCUAUUAAAUAGUAUUGUCAUUUAUGGAAACAUAGGCAAAGACUUCUUAAAGGGACAUGUUGGGUUUACCAGCGGGAAGUUUGAGGCAAUAACA